GCUCCGUGCGCGUGUGUACGCAAAUUGUGACAUCGUAGAUAACGAGAACGAUACGACUUAGAACUUUGCACUGCAUACAGUUAAUUAAUAACAUUCAGACAGGCGUACGUGUAAUUUAUAUUAAAUGAAAAAUGUAGUAGUAGAGAAUCGUAAGUGCCAUACGCGUAGAUCUCACUUUUAUGGAUGACCUAUUAGAUUUUUAAAAUAUUUUCGGAGAAACGGAAUCGUAUUAACUGUUCGAAGAACUACUAUCCUGAUCCUGCAAGGACGACGUGUCACGUGGUCUCACGAUGGAGAGGACGGAAUUAAAUGCUCACCCCGAAAUCUGUUCGCCUAAUACAAAACUGGUCGUCUGCUUGAAUUUUCGAUUGACGACCAUUCGACAGCCGAUCAGGCUUAGUCAAUACUAUUCAAUUAAACCUCGAUUUGUAUCAUUUAAACAACGAUAUAACUAUCGACGAUCAAUUUCCUAUUCAAUCAUAAGAAAUCUGCAACACUCUCACAAGUAGCACUAAAGGAGAAAGAAAUAUACGAAGAAUACUAGUACGAAUCUUAAUGUAAUUAUGAAUUAUUCAUCUGAUCUUCAAUGCUAUUAUUAAACAAGAAACCAUACUUA
Molecule: long non-coding RNA, 616 nt
Organism: Ceratina calcarata
Lineage: Eukaryota; Metazoa; Arthropoda; Insecta; Hymenoptera; Apidae
Exons: 2
Source: RefSeq, a predicted model, not a curated record